GUCCAUUGGAUCGGAAGUUAGCCAUGCACUGUCGGGUACAUUUCUCCACUCCUCCUCCACACUCCUCUGAGAAGGGUAAGGCACUGUGCCUUACUUGCUGCCCUUGACCGUACUUGCUGCCUGCUCCUCAGCACAGCACAGAAGCAAGCAGACCCUCCUGGCUGCCUGUAGGCCAUGGACCCUUGAAAGGAAGCUCAGAGGUUAUGGAUGAAUGUGUUCCCAUGUGUCUUCAGGACAAACAAACAAGCAGCGACCCUCCCCCAAAAACAGUGUGUGGGGUUUCUAGAUAUUUUAAUAGUCUUGAGCCAAGAUGAGGUGGUGCUUUUCCCAAAGCCAGAAAACAUUUAUCCUGUAUAAAAUGCUGCAAACUUAUUAAAGAGCCUCACCCUGUGAGGUUUGGGAGUGCCUCUUUUGGGUUACUAGACAGUCUGAUGCCCUUGAGGUAGUUUGGGGAUUUUCCAUCCUUUUUGGAUAGUCAACCUAUCAGAGGGGUUGUGACCCCCAGGUUGAGAACCACUGCUCUAGCCUGAUUUCCAGAAAGAAUCCAUUAAAUAUGACAUUAAGAAAUCUUAUUGUAGAUUAGCCUUUCUCCAUAAGAAAGGAAAAAGGACCUCCUAUAAUCUUAAACACACAGCUAUUUCACUCUCUUGAAAACAACUCUUGAGAUUGCCACUCUUGGCCCCUGGAAUGUGUCUGCCUCACUUUGCUGAAUAAACUCUGCGGUGUCUGUGCCCCGGUCUUCUCUGGGUCCAGCUGCAGCAGGCCUUGAACAAGUGCUGUCAAGGACAAUACCAAAUGAGUGAAUCUGUUUAAAUAGUUUUUGGACCUGUUGAGGGAAAAUUAAUUCUCCAAGAUAGCAGGCAUUGUGUGGGAGAGGUGGGGCAAAAUUGUUCAUCCCCUUCAUAGUGUUUAUGUGUGUCCCUGACACUUUGGCUGAUCAGCUCUCAGGGAAGUUGCAGUAGAUGAACCACGUGUAGGAGUCAAGGAGAGUUGGACAUACCAAGAAGGAGAUGGUUGGGUUUUUUUUACAUUUUUAAGAUUUGUUUUCUUUACUACCUUUAAGACAUAAUAUUUAUAUGUGGAAGAUAAUGUAUUGGGUGACUGAAAACAAUAAAAGGGCUUGCCCUUGACAUUUCCAGGAUGGAUGAGAAUACAAGACUGGGACAGACAGAGAAUGAUUCAGACAAAUUGUUUCUCGAAAUUAGGCAGCCUGAGCCCUUUAUGACUCCAUAAUCGUUGGAAGCUGAGUUACUCAUAUCAUUCCCGAAAAUGAUAUGUUCAUGUUUCCUGCCUUCAUCAGAAGCACAACAGAUUGCUGAGAAGGGCAGAUGCAGAAAUCUAAUGAACCAUCUUUCAAUUUAAAGUGUGCCCAGGAGUAUUCAUUAAAUAAAUGGCUGUGGUAGAGGUGUGCUCUCAGGGCUCCCACUCCAGCCCAGGGCCUUUAGAUUUCUUAUUUAAUUAAGGAGUGUGUGUGUAUUACCCCACCACCCCCGACACACACACACACACACACACACACACACACACCCUACAUAGGAAAAAACCUUCAGAAUUUAACUCAUUUUUAAUUUAUCUUGCCAUUUUCCUACGUAGUAAACACUGAAUUAUGUUUCGUUAGUGUUAUCUUUGAUGUUUAUAGAAGUCUUAUGAAUACCCCUUAGCAGGUACUGUCUUAUCAAGCACAUGGUAGGUCUUCAUUUUCUGGACAGACAGAUGGCUGCAUAAAUAGGAUACCAUUGCAUUGAACAUAACAAUCCUUAGAGUAGUAGUGUUCCUGGAGUAGUACACACCCUGGAGAUCAGAUAGAUACCUAGGCCGCCCUUGAUAACCCAGCAGUGUCAUGAGCUGUGCACAUGUCACUGGACCCUUGCUGAAAAGGCUCAGGUGGUUGUGCCAGCCAUGUUCUGUCUCAAGUCACAUGGUCUCAGACUCUUAUGUUCGUGCUUUGUUUUAUUAGCAGAUUAUUCUGAGUCUGGGCUUUCUCUCCUAGACUGUCCUAAGAGUCCCUUUUCAAAGGAAACCUGUAUACUGAUUUUCUUUACCCACAUUCAGAUCUGCCCUGCUGAAGACUUCAAGUUGCUAAGCUAACCUUCUUCCCUAUCUUAAUCAAUUUGCUGUACUUUCUAAUCUCAUGUGUAAAGAUUGAUGUAGAAAUGCAGAGCCCGAGGCUGGGGAUUAGGGUUAUGGAAAAGCAGAAACUCUGGUAGUAGAGAAGACCUUCUGUGAGUCAUGGGUGCUGGGAGAACUGUUGGAGUUAUUAGUUACAUGAAUGUACGCUUUCUUUUUUAAGCAAAAUCAUUCUAGGCUGAUUUUCAUGGGAACAUUGCUUCCUAUCUUGAGUGUCUCCUUUCAGUCAGGGAACAUAAAUGGUAGCCAUUUGCCUAUGCAACUUAUCUAAAGGCAGCUUGUUACAGCCCCGAGGCAGAUAGCGUGGCCUCCUGUCACGGGUGAGGAAGUGUGAGCUUUUGCUUAAGGAACGUUCAUACUCACAUUGGGCCAUGCUUUAUGUUUCUGGUUCCACUGCCUGCUUGCACGCACAGUGCGCUGCCAUGCCAGGUGGAGAUAGUGUUUCCAAGUAAUGGCUGGCCUUGAUGGCCUUUGUUUCACUAGUGGAGGAAGUUGAGCUUUUGCUUUUGCUAAAACUUAAUGCUUUAUACAGUCCAUGAUUGUUUUAUGAAGUUCAAUCAGAAAGUACAAGUUUAUUGAAAACUUUUAGCCACUCUUGUUGGUUUCGAAGAUACCAGACUUUCCUAUAAAUAAACAUAAAAUGUUGCCUACUCCAUUUUGUGAGAAUCAGACAACUGUAGUGAAGAUUGAACAGCACAAGUCAUGCCAGUUUCCCAAGUGGAAAAUUUAGAGGGUAGCAUGAGCUGUCUUCUGCUUCUCCGUCUAUCUUGUUUCUUAAACUUCGUGCUGGGGGGACUUGGGUCCUUUAGUCUGGGUCAUUGAGACUCGCUCCUACCUAGGGCACUUGGUAGGGCUUGUGGGGUUGCCUGAGGCCCUGUGUUAUGGGGCAGCUGGCUGUGGAUGUGACAACUGACAAGAGAUGGCUGCCGACUCAUGGCUGUGGUAAGGGAGCAGCAAGUGCAGCUGGUCUAGGUCAGGGGCUUGUGAGGGCUGUUUCAUCUGCUGUGUACUGUCCCAGUGUACAGACUUCACCUGGGCCUCUUACUCGGCACACUCUGUGUGGUCCCACCCAGCCAAGGCCCUCACUGCUGCAGCCGUCAGAGCUCCCCACUUCCCAGCUGGAGGAGGAGACGAUGGCUCACACCCCACUCAUGGUGCUAUGCAGCAGAAUCUUCCUCGAAUCUGAAGAUUCCAAGUGAAGUAGUCGAAGUCUGCUUCCAGGGAAAGGAACGUUAGGAAGGCAGCAUACAAAUAUGGCUCAGUGAUUGCGGGGCUAAGCAGAAAUGUAUAAAAAUCCAGCCUGACCUCCAUGAAUCUAUAGAAAAGCAAGGUAUCACCCCCACCUACCCUCUAGUCAGUAACCUGUACUGCUACCCUUUCGUGAGACAGGCUCUGUAUUCAGCCUCCAGACUUGUCGCCUCAUGUGGACAGCUUCAUUUUCUCCAUGGAAAGUAAUAAUCCUUUGAUUCUGACAUCAUAGAAAAGGUUAAGAUGUCUCCCAAGGACAAAAAAAAAAAAAAAAACCAAAAACAAAAAAAAAAAAAAACCAAAGUAUCAGUUGGUGGUUAAAUGAACUGUUUUUAAAGCUUUGCUUUGGUCUCAUGUAAGUUAGAAAGAGCCUGGUUUGCUUUGUGGAUGAAAUGCCCAUAAAGCAGUCCCCAUGCCAGAUUUCUGUAUGUCCUACAUGCAGUUUUCUUUAAAGCUAACAGUCUGCUCUCAUAUCUGAAACCAUAUUGACUGCUUUUAGCCUCUCCAUGCUCUCAUGGUGCAAAAUCGUCAUCUCUUAACUACUGCUUAAAAAUCACCCACGUGGUCAUCAUGGUAGCAUCACAUUUCAGCUCCACGCAGUUCAUAUUAUAAAUUGCAUCUGGGAUAGCCAGCCUAAGGUGCUUUGUAAUUAAUCCAUGCUCUGGGGGAAAAAUUACCAAAGUUUUCUUCUUAUAAAGUAGACCAGAAACUCUAUUGCAAAAACACAGCUUCACUCUUCUCAGAAGGAAGUAACAAGGGGACCUCUGAGAGAGGAUGUUGUGGGCUCCAGGGCAUUUGACCCCUUGUGUUUGCCUGUUGAUGUGAAAGUUCAAGGAGUGGGGAAGUCCACUCAUUGACAGUUCAGGGACCCUGAGAGAGAAGCCUAUGUCUCCAUCCCAUUCUCACACCUGAGUUCCUGUUGUAGAGUAAUAUAUCAGGACAUACAAAAGGUUUUAUGUCAGGCUUCAAACAAGCAAAGCUUGGGGGCAUGUGCAUCCACACUGCUCUUCCCUGCCUUUACGCUCCAUGGCACCUUUACGCUGCCACGCAGAGCCCUACUGAGUGGCUGGUUCUCUUGGGUUGGAUGAGUUGACGUGUCUGUCGCCAGAACUGAUCUCUUGGCAGCAUACUAUGGGCUCCAUUCUUACAGCUGUAUGUCCUGCUGCCAUUCUGCUGCCUACGUUUAUUACCUUAAUUAUUUAUAUUUGAUUAUUCAAGGGAAAUGUGUUCCCAACUGAUGUUCAGCAAAUCUCUCCCAGAAUAAAUAUAUCUCCAAGAACCAAAGUAAGUUUUCCAUUAGUUUAAAGGCACUGUACAGAGAGCCUGUGCUUUUAGGAUGUGAGUGCUUCUGGGCUUUGCUGGGGAGCACAGGUGAGGACACUGUUGAGAGUGUUGCUCAGACUCUCAAAGCUCUCACACCCUGUGUGAGCAACCUAGGUAAGGAUUGCGAGGACUGGGAGAGAGGCUGUGCCUUGCAAGUCUGCAGAGUACACUCAGGGCCCAUGCUGCUGACUUGGACCCUUACGCAUUCGACUGACCAGUGGCUCAGGGUUCUCUGGCUUUCUUCUGUCUUCAAGGUGAGUCCUGUUCCCUAGGCCAGCCUCACACUGCCAGGUCUCUUGUUUUCCCACUCAGAGGCUUUUACCAAAGAUUGUCACCCAGACACAAGCACGCUUGAAUCGUAGAGCUGAGGCACCUACUGGGAAGGACUGGACCUUGCAGCCCCCGUUUUGCCGUACAGUUUCUACUUUCUGGCCCAAGAGCAUUGCUAGUGCAGCCUAUGUGCUUCCUCUCCACCCUGGGCACCUCGCAUUUUGUCUUAUUCUCAAGGCUGGGAUUUACAGAGUUGUUGGGUUUGAGUUUUGUUUUUCUCACUUUGUGAGGAUGACCAGAGCCGCUGGUAUAAUGAAGGUACAGCACAGCCUCUGUGAGUGUUCGGAUGAUGGUCUCCUUGAACAUCUGCACAGAUGCUCAGAGCCGUGCGCCUCGCACCCUCCUCACCAGGGGCCCACAAAGUGCCACAUAGUGCAUUGUUGCAGUAAAUGUUUUAAAAAUGGUGACCUUUUAUCUCGUGCUAGCACCAGCACUCGUAGGGCCACAUGGCACUGUGGGGCAUCUUUAUCAGUGUUCCACACUGCCCCCAAGUACUCUCAGACCAGGCAUUUCGUAGGCCUUCCAGCGUGGCACCUUGCUUCCCACCUGUACUUUAUCUCUGGUUAGCGUCUCUCCAGGCAGCUCUCUGCUAGCCACAAACUCUGGUUCCAGCCACCCAGUAAAAUCAGGCUCUAGAAGUCCAGCAUGGGGCUGGCCUGUCGAAGCUCCCUGCCACAGACUCUGCUCACACUCCCAGCAA
This is a non-coding RNA of Rattus norvegicus (Norway rat), 5728 nucleotides long. The record is from RefSeq and is a predicted model, not a curated record. Lineage: Eukaryota; Metazoa; Chordata; Mammalia; Rodentia; Muridae.